GGGANNNCGGNNGCUAUACAUGCAGUCGAGCGAACAGACAAGGAGCUUGCUCCUCUGACGUUAGCGGCGGACGGGUGAGUAACACGUGGAUUGCCUACCUAUAAGACUGGGAUCUCUUCGGGAGACCGGAGCUAAUACCGGAUAAUAUAUUGAACCGCGGGGUUCAAUAGUGAAAGACGGUUUUGCUGUCACUUAUAAAUGGAUCCGCGCCGCAUUAGCUAGUUGGUAAGGUAACGGCUUACCAAGGCAACGAUGCGUAGCCAACCUGAAAGGGUGAUCGGCCACACUGGAACUGACACACGGCCCAAACUCCUACGGGAGGCAGAAGUAGGGAAUCUUCCGCAAUGGGCGAAAGCCUGACGGACCAACCCCGCGUGAGUGAUGAAGGUCUUCGGAUCGAAAAACUCUGUUAUUAGGGAAGAACAAAUGUGUAACUAACUAUGCACCUCUUGACGGACCCUAAUCAAAAAGCCACGGCUAACUACGUGCCAGCAGCCGCGGAAAUACGUAGGUGGCAAGCGUUAUCCGGAAUUAUUGGGCGUAAAGCGCGCGUAGGCGGUUUUUUAAGUCUGAUGUGAAAGCCCACGGUUCAACCGUGGAGGGUCAUUGAAAACUGGAAAACUUGAUUGCAGAAAAGAAAAGUGAAAUUCCAUGUGUAGCGGUGAAAUGCACAGAGAUAUGGAGGAACACCAGUGACGAAGGCGACUUUCUGGUCUGUAACUGACUCUGAUGUGCGANCGCGUGGGGAUCAAACAGGAUUAAAUACCCUGGUAGUCCACGCACAAAACAAUGAGUGCUAGCUGUUAGGGGGUUUCUGCCCCUUAUUGCUGCAGAUAACGCAUUAAGCACUCCGCCUGAGAGAGAACGACCGCAAGGUUGAACCUCAAAGGAAUUGAUCGGGGACCCGCCCAUGCGGUGGAGCAAGCGGUUUCAUUCAAUAGCCAACGCANAGACCUAACUGNUCUUGGACAUCCUUCUGUACCCCUCUAGAANAUAGANGUUCCCUUCGUNGACAGAUUGACNGNGAGNNCAUGCAUGUCGUCAGCUCAGUACNGCAAUNGUNNNNAGGUCCCCCACCGACGNNAGCCCUNACUCUUAGUGCNUGCAUCAGUCANNNCCUCUAAGUGACUG
Molecule: ribosomal RNA, 1131 nt
Filed under: uncultured Staphylococcus sp.
Lineage: Bacteria; Bacillati; Bacillota; Bacilli; Caryophanales; Staphylococcaceae
Description: partial 16S ribosomal RNA
Rfam family: Bacterial small subunit ribosomal RNA
Source: RNAcentral